This 253-nucleotide ribosomal RNA is filed under the name uncultured bacterium. Its description in RNAcentral is "partial 16S ribosomal RNA". It matches the Rfam family "Bacterial small subunit ribosomal RNA", at positions 524 to 776 of the family's 1533-position model. The record is from RNAcentral.
UACAGAGGUGGCAAGCGUUGUUCGGAAUUACUGGGCGUAAAGGGCGCGUAGGCGGCUUUGCAAGUCGAGUGUGAAAUCCCCAGGCUUAACCUGGGAACUGCAUUCGAGACUGCAUAGCUAGAGUAUGGGAGAGGGAAGUGGAAUUUCAGGUGUAGCGGUGAAAUGCGUAGAUAUCUGAAGGAACAUCAGUGGCGAAAGCGACUUCCUGGACCAAUACUGACGCUCAUGUGCGAAAGCGUGGGGAGCAAACAGG